ACUCCUGCCGUGGUCUGCUCUGCUUCCCCAGACACAAUUCCUCCAUAGCUGCCUCUGCUAAAGCAACAAUGGACCCAAGCCCUGAGCACCUGAGGUAACCCCCAGGUUUUUUUAUCCCAGGUCCAGCUUCUUUGUGCUGCCCUUGCUCUGUCACAGGGUUCACGGGAGCCGCAGAGGGCAGGAGAGGUGAAGAGAUCUCCACACGGCUCAUGAGUACUUAGGCUUGAAUUAUGUCCUGCUCUCUUCUUCCAGACCUGUGGCUUUUUACCUGCAGUGACCUUCCCUGACUCGCUGUUUACCUUGAGAGAAAGGGAACAUUUGCUGCCUAGAGGAGCUCAGCUACAGCUUUUCAGUCAGCGAUGAAAACACUCCAAAGCUAAGAGCACCGUUUGAAUUUAAAAAUCGUAAUUACAGCGCCCAAGAGGCAGAAGUUGGAAGAGGGCAAUGAACAAAGCAGGGGGUUGGAAGAAAACAAAGAAAGGCAUGAGAGGAAUCUGCGCUUUGAACACAGAGUCCUGAAUAUCUUGCACUGGCUACUUCAGAUUGGGCACCCAAAAUUAAUAGAUUCUUUGACCUUCGUUUCUUUGUGCUCUGGUUCUUUGUUUGUAAAGCAGAAACCACAAUAGAGCCUCACCAAGGGAAAAAAAAAAAGAAAAGAAGAUGUCAUCAAUGUCAUCAGAGCAAUUGCUCCAGCCAAAGCACUCUGAUGCUGCAGAAAUGAAGAUGAAGAAGGAAAAAAUCCACCCUAACCCCGAGUGGCUUUUCAGCAAUGCUACCAACAGCAAGAGAAUUGCUUGCAGCAGUGUCACUCAGAGGAAUUUUGUUAGUCAAGCUUGAACAACAUGUACAAGGCUUUAACAAGGAAUGAAGGACCUUCAUCCUGCUUGUGCUGCUGUCUUCUAUUAACACGUUCUGUCUGCUGAGCUCUGCCCACAGCAAGACUACAUCCAGACACACCAGCAAGGGCAGCACUGCUGCAAAACUCCCUCUUGUGACAGCAGAACACGUAAGAUGUUACCAAAUCUUCAUUUCAGCAGCAGCAGCAACAAGACCAGCAUGUGACAGAAGCUGCACAUCAGUGCCUAAAGGCUGAAUAUUCAUCCCAAAGGUCCUGCAGAGAGCCUGGAAAUCUGCCCACCUGUCAGCUAGCUCUGGCUGAGGUGGGAUUUGCAAAUUUGGGGGAAAGUGUGUCUCCAAACCUAACGUUAAGGACCGAGUUGAUUAUGGGCUAUUCAGACCUGGCACUUAGCACCUGGAGCCAGCACAGCUUCUAAGAAGUCUGACAGAGGGCUGUUUCCUGGAAAUCUGCUAGUGAAGUGUGUUCUAGACAAUUUACUCCCUUUCAAACAGAUUUUUUCCUUUCCUUUUUUCAAAACCUCUCUGCAGCCCCUCAUCUCAGCUGGCAGAACAAACAUCAGACCCGAAGCACAUCUGCAGAGCAAGUCUGGAGUGUUUGCACAGCCCUGCUCCAAGUGACAUCUUCUGGGAAGCACUCAGGUCCAUCACAGCCUCUCAGAAGGGAACAAACCACCCUGGGCAGUGGCACAGAAGGCACCACAAAGUGUCUGCAAGGCAGAGGGAAGCACAAAGACACCGUGUGCCCCAUCUGGUGCAGAACAACAGUUCUGAGGAAAACAACCCAUCAGAGCAGGCUGAGCCUCUGCAAGCAGGCAGUUCCUGCAGUUACUGGAAGAGCUGUCACCACGCCAGGCCACAUCACCACUGGAUUUAUUGUGCAGCUUUUCUGUCCAGAAAGUGCCUGUGUGGAGCAGAGCAGGCAGGAAGCAGCAGGACAGAGCUGUGCCCGUGUCCCCGGGCUCUGCCCCAAGCAUGCAGCUGCCUGGGAAUCUUCCACACAAAACACUAAUGGGUAAAAUAAAGCUGCUUUGAAGUGCAGGCAGAACCAAACUCUUUUUCCUUCAGCCAUGCAGAAGUCCAGAAUUUUGUCUUGCUGCAGUGUUUUCAAGAAGAAUGAAGCAUCUGCAUUUUUUUCCCUCCUGCAGCUUAUUACACCUGGGUAUGCUCCAUCCCUGCCUCUGGAAACCUGUGAAAGCUGAUUUUAGUUGACUAGAACCACAGAACCACUGAGGUUGGAGAAGACCUCCAAGAUUAUUGAGUCCAACCUUUGAUUUAAUACCACCACAUGCUCAUUGAACCCUACAAUGAAGUGCCAGGUCCACUUGUUUUUUGAACACUUCCAGGGAUGGUGACUCCACCACUGCCUUCAGCCUGUUUCAAUGCUUAACCACUCUUUCAGUGAAGAAAUUUUUCCUAAUGCCCAACUUGAACCUCUUCUGGUGAAACUUGAGGCUGUUUGCCAUUGUCCUGUCACUCGUUACCUGGGAGAAGAGGCUGACUCCCACCUCACCAGCACCUUCUCUCAGCGAAAUGCUGGUCUUCAGGUAAAUAAGGUCUCCCCUGAGUCUCCUUUUCAACCCUCAGCCAGUCCUUGUAGAACUGACAUUCCAGACCCUAAACCACCAUGCAAGAUGAACCCAUCUGUCGAGUCCUGAGGACAAGCAAAUAUUCUCCAUCUCCUCUUCAGGGGGCAGAAAACCACAUAAAAAAAAUAAUUACACCUGUUCCUCAAGUUUCACCGAGCAGCUGACAUGCAGCUCUGUCUUCAUUUACCCCAAGGACAAGAAACCAACCAGCUCAGACCAGGAAUCCAGCUCCUGGAGAAGGAAAAUCAAGCCAGUGUGGACAGUUCUCAGGAGGGUAUCUGUCAGCAGCACAGCUAACACACUCCUCUCCAAGAAAAUCUUCAUGGGAAAAGCCCAAGAAACCUGAGAUCCAUCUGUGAAACAAGGAAAGCAUGGACAAUUCACAACUGUCUCCCCUGGACAAUGAUAAUUCCUGCUGCAGCAUCUUUUCCAUGCAGUUGCAUCCAUGACAUCCACGAUUUGAAGCUGAGGUCCAGCUGCGUGACUCUGCCUUUACCACCAGCACUGGGAUGGUUGCAGAGCACAGCUUCUCCAUGUGGCUAUCCCAGAGAGCAAAUUCUGCCAUUUAGUAUCAUUUGCACUUUUGAAGAAAGCAUCUUUCAAAACUUGUAAUAACUCUGCAUGUUCCUAGAACAGGCUAAUGAGAAACACGCUGCACCAGGGCUGUAAACUGUCAUUUCUAAAUUGGAAAACCAAAUGAACUGCAGAUAGAGAGCUAUUGUGCUGCUCCAAGAGGCCUCCUUCUAAUUAGAUGCUCGAAGUUUUAAAACAUUUUCAAAUCUUGGACUGCUCCAUCCUUCCCAGAUUUAAUGAUCGAAGAGUUGAGGGCAAUUUUCUUGUUGAACUGGGAAGAAGCAAAACAGAGCAGUUAGUGUCUUCACAUUUACAAGGAAGAACCUGGAAAACAGGAAAGAACAAACCCAGAGUUCAAUGACUUAGAUAAAAAACUGUAGAUGGAAGGACAUCUGAUUACACUUUGGUUUCUGCAGUUACAAAUUAAGUGUUCUGUAAUCCUCCAGAGAAAAUUAUGGGAAUGACAUGUCAGUGACUUUAAGCUCUAAUCUUACAAGCUUCAUAAUUCAUGUUUUUAUUUGACAUUGAUGGGAUCACUUGAAUGAGCAAAGUUUUGUCUGCAAUUAAAGCACUGCAAGAAUGGAGUUUACAAAGGCUUUGUUUUGCUGCUGAAUAAUUCUAGUGAUUUACAGGUGGUUUAGCUGCAGUUAAACACUUACUGGGGAACCCUCUCUCUUCUAAUGAUGAAGAGCAGAAUUCCUGCACUUGGAAUGACAUGAGGACUGUCUGUGACUCCAAGUGUCAACUGUGGGAACUUUAUCCCAUUCAUCAGGGAUAAUCACACAGAGCAUGCACUGGGUGCAACUUGGAAAGACUUCCAUGGUGGACUAAUGAUUCUGUACAGGAAAUUCAUUAAAAAAUAAGUCCCACUGCUUCCUUUCCAUGCCCUGCCAUAACAGGAGCCGUGUAAAUGGAUUUUGUCAGAGCUGCACUCACGACAGCUUUACAAUCCAUCUGAAAGGCAGAGCCAGAAUCUGCAGACAAUGGACUGUGAGAACAUCACAUCUGACAAACUGCUCAACUUACUGCAACUUUUUAAAUACUUUUUUAAAAAAAUGUAAUAAUAAAAUGUGGAGCUGAGGGAGGAUGACAGAGUGACAAGUCUGCAGAAAGGCUCUGUCUGUACCAUGGGAAGGGACUGUGUGAACUUCCUACUUAAUGUCUGGCCAUGGAUCUCAUUUAUGAGCUGCUGCAGACACCCCAUGGCAUGAUGGAGAUGGAGGAACCACUGAGAAAUUAUCUGUCAACUGAAAAACCAAUUAAUACUAACUGCAAUGAGAAAGAACUGUCUACCCAGACAGACACUGGGAUUGUGAAGUCAGUUACAGAUGUCUUUAAGGGAUUUUUUUUUUUUUGGUCAUUUUCAACUUGAACUUAAGCCAUAGCUAUUGGGGAAAAGCUGCUUCAUCUUUUCUUUUUCUGCACCAUCAAUCCCCCAGCGUUUUCACCACCAGCUUAAUGAAUUCCAACUAUCAAGAGAGCUCAUCCGCUCUGUAAUUUGUCUUUUUUUGUUCCCUUCACUAAACAAGCAGGAAAAAUGUUUUUAAUUUGCAAUGCUGAAUAAAUACCUACUGUGUUUGCCAAGACUUUAUUGACAUUCAUGGCUGUCCACAAAGCUGACUGACUUCUCACAGAGAUGGUUUAUCUCCUCAAGUAAAAAAAAAUAAA
Long non-coding RNA from Passer domesticus (house sparrow), 4685 nucleotides. RefSeq lists it as uncharacterized. NCBI's taxonomy places the organism in Eukaryota, Metazoa, Chordata, Aves, Passeriformes, Passeridae. The record is from RefSeq and is a predicted model, not a curated record. The transcript is spliced from 2 exons.